Small nucleolar RNA from Chelydra serpentina (North American snapping turtle), 214 nucleotides. Its record names the gene U3. It matches the Rfam family "Small nucleolar RNA U3". Rfam says of the family: Small nucleolar RNAs (snoRNAs) are involved in the processing and modification of rRNA in the nucleolus. NCBI's taxonomy places the organism in Eukaryota, Metazoa, Chordata, Testudines, Chelydridae. The record is from Ensembl.
AAGGCUAUGCUUUCAGGGAUCAUUUCUCUAGUGGGUGACUGGAGAAGAGUGGUUAUGGAAAGCUGAUCUUGCUAACCACAAUGAGGAAUUGUAGUGUUUCUUUCUGAGCAUGAAAAUGGCAGAGAGUGCUGUUCUAUGGCAGCUGGUUUCUGCUGUGGAGGAGUGUCUUGCUUUUUCUGAGGAAAGCAGGGGAAAGGAACACAGUCUGAGUGGU